AUGCACGCUGGCGGCGUGCCUAAUACCUGCCAGUCGAGCGAACAGACGAGGAGCUUGCUCCUCUGACGUUAGCGGCGGACGGGUGAGUAACACGUGGAUAACCUACCUAUAAGCCUGGGAUAACUUCGGGAAACCGGAGCUAAUACCGGAUAAUAUAUUGAACCGCAUGGUUCAAUAGUGAAAGACGGUUUUGCUGUCACUUAUAGAUGGAUCCGCGCCGCAUUAGCUAGUUGGUAAGGUAACGGCUUACCAAGGCAACGAUGCGUAGCCGACCUGAGAGGGUGAUCGGCCACACUGGAACUGAGACACGGUCCAGACUCCUACGGGAGGCAGCAGUAGGGAAUCUUCCGCAAUGGGCGAAAGCCUGACGGAGCAACGCCGCGUGAGUGAUGAAGGUCUUCGGAUCGUAAAACUCUGUUAUUAGGGAAGAACAAAUGUGUAAGUAACUAUGCACGUCUUGACGGUACCUAAUCAGAAAGCCACGGCUAACUACGUG
RNAcentral lists this ribosomal RNA (496 nucleotides) under uncultured bacterium. Its description in RNAcentral is "partial 16S ribosomal RNA". It matches the Rfam family "Bacterial small subunit ribosomal RNA", at positions 29 to 507 of the family's 1533-position model. The record is from RNAcentral.